Molecule: ribosomal RNA, 525 nt
Filed under: uncultured bacterium
Lineage: Bacteria
Description: bacterial SSU rRNA
Rfam family: Bacterial small subunit ribosomal RNA
Source: RNAcentral
CCUACGGGAGGCAGCAGUGGGGAAUCUUGCGCAAUGGGCGAAAGCCUGACGCAGCCAUGCCGCGUGAAUGAUGAAGGUCUUAGGAUUGUAAAAUUCUUUCACCGGGGACGAUAAUGACGGUACCCGGAGAAGAAGCCCCGGCUAACUUCGUGCCAGCAGCCGCGGUAAUACGAAGGGGGCUAGCGUUGCUCGGAAUUACUGGGCGUAAAGGGAGCGUAGGCGGAUAGUUUAGUCAGAGGUGAAAGCCCAGGGCUCAACCUUGGAAUUGCCUUUGAUACUGGCUAUCUUGAGUAUGGGAGAGGUAUGCGGAACUCCGAGUGUAGAGGUGAAAUUCGUAGAUAUUCGGAAGAACACCAGUGGCGAAGGCGGCAUACUGGCCCAUUACUGACGCUGAGGCUCGAAAGCGUGGGGAGCAAACAGGAUUAGAUACCCUGGUAGUCCACGCUGUAAACGAUGAGUGCUAGUUGUCGGCAUGCAUGCAUGUCGGUGACGCGAGCUACGACAUAAGUACACUCCGCCGUCGGG